AAAAAUCUUAUAAUUUUUAUUUUAUUUAUAUUAGAACUUUGUAUCGUUUGUUUAAAAUGACUUUGAAGACAAUUGACGACAACUUUACGGUUGAUUGAUUUUCGGAACAAAUGCGAAGUAAUGGUUAUUUUGAACGGACAUAAACCGAGUUCACCGCUUUCCAACAUACGCACCAUUUUCACGAUUUUGUCAUUUAAAGCUUGGCUAAUGUCACGAAUUUUCCCAUCCUUAUUGUAAGGAAACUGCAAUAAUUAUCUGAGUAAAUGUCAGGACUUUCUGACAACCAGCGACUUGCAGUUUUGGGCAUGAUCCAAUGAAGCCUUUCACAGCAUACAAUUACGAGAAGACUGCAGUUGUAGCCUCUACAAUAACCCAAAUCAUCCACAUAUUCAACCAAAAUGGAUCAUUAAAUGGUCAGCCACAUCCCAGGGUACAAAAAGCAAGAAACGCUCAGUCAGACCGAUACAUUUGGUCUUAAACCAAUUCAAUAUUGACUCUGUUUGCCGUCCAAAGGUCACGAGAGUUCAAUGGUGGUCAUGGUAGAUCUUUUGGAGCAUUUUCAGUAAAGCACAAUUUGCGCAGAAAUUGUUAAAGAGCACCAAAGUCUUUCCUCAGUGAUAUCUAAACGGCCGUCAGGCGUAAACAUCGAAUUCUGUAGACCAAAAAUCAUUCAUUAUGUACAAACACCCGUCAGUGGUGGUUACAUAGACAUUUGUCACCCAUCUUGGCCAACAGUAAAGUGUUUUGCCAGAUUUUGGUCCGAUCGAGGAAAUUUUGCAUCAGAUUGGACAUGGUUUAGACGAUGAAAACCACCACCAAUAUCAUAACGUCAGCUAGAGUUUGCUUUGCGGGACAAGUGGA
This 861-nucleotide long non-coding RNA is filed under the name Mytilus galloprovincialis (Mediterranean mussel). The record is from RNAcentral. Lineage: Eukaryota; Metazoa; Mollusca; Bivalvia; Mytilida; Mytilidae.